ACUUAACUAAUCAAAUUAAUUCAGAUUUGAUCACAUUAAUCUUAUGCUAAUCCAUAUUUUAUUAACAGUAAUGUUCAGAUUAAACAAAAAUUGAAAGAGGAAUUAGGGUAUUACACUUGUGGCUUCAGCUUGGCAUCGCUCUCGACCUCUCUCACUCUCCUUCAACAACGGCGACAGCGGCGUUCCUCCCUUCUCCGGCGAGUCGCGACACACCCCUCUCUUGUUUCCACCUCACUCGUACGAAGACGGCAACCGGAAAUUGACUCCUCUCCUCCAAUCCGAAGUUCACCGCGCCGCCACACCACCGCUGUCACUACCUCGUCUCACUCUCGUUCUCUCUUCCACUCGAUUCAUGUUCUCACAUCACUCAUCUCUCUUUCAAAUUCAUCUCCGAUUGUAGAUCGUUGUUUUCGCAAUCACCGAAUCGGAUCCACAAACACGCACGCUCAUCAUUCAACGACGGAGAGUUGCGAAGAUGAACAUGAACGUUGUUGAGGAUCGCAGUUGAAGAAUAGUCGACGAUGAAUGAUUGCACUGGUGAUUAAAGUGUGGAUUUAUGAAAUCGGAGAUGAUGUGAAGUUGAAGGUUGAAUUCAAUUCAGAUGUUUGAAGGUGAUGAAUCGGUGAAGGUCCAAGGUUGAUGAUGAGGACGAGUUGCUUUGCUGACUGAUGAUGAAUUCAGUGAAGUUGAUUGAAACGGCGUGAAGAAUUAACGUUGAAGAUCCUUGAAGGUUGAAGGUUAUGGUGGUUGCGAUCUCUGUUAGAUAUUUUUGUUACUUUUUUGUGAAUCUUCUUCUUCUGUGAGUUUUCUGUUAGAUUUUUCUGAUGACUGAUUGCAGAAUCAAUUGAAGAUCUUGUUGAUUGUGGAUUCUCUGCAGAGAGGUUGAAGAUUGGUGAUAAGAUUGGAGAGGAUCUGUGAUGGCGGAUGGUUGAAGGUGAUUGAAGAUUGAUGGAAGAAGCUUGAAGAAGAUGAAGAUUGGAGAGAGUUUGUUACCGAUUCGGGUAGAGGUACGGUUUUUUUUAGAAUCUGUAGAAUUCAAAUUUGCAACUGGUUUGUCAACCAAUAUGGGCUGGGCUUUCAAUUUCUAACGGUUUCUAUCAAGUCGCAGAGCGCAGCUUCGGGUUUUAUUUUGCACUAUGUCGCCUGAAUUUUGGUUGUUGGCUUCUCUUAUAAUCGAGGAGAGUCCUUUACCUUUUGCAACAUGGGCUACUGGUGCCAAAUUUGUAAUGGUGACAAUUUGAAUGUAUUUAAAUGGACUUUCCCUUCCAAGUAUUUUUUGUAACUUCCAUACUUUUUCUAUUUUGUGAAUGAACCUUGCGUAUACAUGUUACAAUGA
Vicia villosa (hairy vetch) is the source of this 1336-nucleotide long non-coding RNA. RefSeq lists it as uncharacterized. Lineage: Eukaryota; Viridiplantae; Streptophyta; Magnoliopsida; Fabales; Fabaceae. The record is from RefSeq and is a predicted model, not a curated record. The transcript is spliced from 3 exons.